Molecule: regulatory RNA element, 93 nt
Organism: Roseburia sp. CAG:182
Lineage: Bacteria; Bacillati; Bacillota; Clostridia; Lachnospirales; Lachnospiraceae
Rfam family: Glycine riboswitch aptamer
About the family: This family represents the bacterial glycine riboswitch.
Source: Rfam
GAUCGACUCUCUGGAGACGCCCGUAUACCGGGGGCCGAAGGUGCAACAUACGGAUCGUAUGAAUCUCUCAGGCAACAGGACAGAGAAGAAUAU